AAAACCCUAAAUCUAGAUCUGCAUCUCAUUCACCGCCGCUUCUCUUCUCUUUGUGACCAACACUCUUCAGUCAUUUCUUUGUAUCUCCUCUCCCUUGAAAUUAAUCUACAUCAGUUAGGAUCACAUCUCCACUUCUUCUAGCAAAUGGAUAUCCAUAUUCGCAUAACGCUUCUUUUCUAAAACCCUAAAUUUUUCCUUCUGGUUUACUCAUCUCCAAUCCUGGAUACAAACCAUGGGCAUUUAGCCUCUUUUGGUUUGAUUUCUUCAUCAGCAUGACUGUCGUUAGCCGGUUUCAUUUUCACUGGCGUGCAACUAUCUACAUUGUUGUUGGAUCAUUAGGGGCAUGUGUCCUAACUCAUAGCCGUCUUACUCAUUUAGGUGUAUUAUCACAAAAAAUUAUUGUAUGUUCAAAGUGCCAAACGAGGUGAAGGUGUGUAUCAUGUAAGCGGUAAAAAAUGGUUCAGUUAUGCAUACGGUUGUGAUUUUGGUCGAUCUCUACCAUCGGUGGUUGUUGGUUUUAUGCAUAAGUGAGAAGAUCCUGCAAUCUAUUAUAGAGCUGCAUUUUCAUGACAGGCGGGAUAAGGAUUGAUGUAAUGGUGCUUGGUGUCAAGCGGAUGAAUGGCCUUAGCAGAGUCGAUAACAAUCGAUCACUUAAUCUUCUUUCCUACACAAUAUUCUGCAAAAGCUCUUCGAGCAGCUUCGACUCGAGCAAUGUUAAUCACUGAUGUUAUAUUUAUGUAUUUUGCGCUUUUUUCCUUGACUACAAGACCUUUAAAGUUAGAAAGAGAGAGUACUGAAAAUUGAUGAUUAAGACCUUUUCCUGUUCUGGGCUGAGUAAACGCAUUAAACCGAGGAUUUUUUUAAGUAUUUGUUCAAAACUGGUAUGGUUUGGGUUGUCCAACAAACAUUUAUAUGACGUAAAUGUUUAAAUCUUUUAUCUACCGAUAUAAUUUGCGUAGGCGUAUCAUGGCUGGUAGGGUGUAGUAGGUUUGGUUGCUUGAUGGGUUGUGGAAGUGGUUUUGGCUUGCAUGUGUGGAAACCAGGUGGAAAUGGGUGGGUUGGAUCAGCCGGAUAAUAGGUUACAAAUUGGAUUUGGUCUGCAGAUGUUAAUCCGAUUGGAAGUAUCAGUAAACAGGAUCUUAGAAUAUUUCUGAGACGGGCAGCCAUCCAUCUUGGUUUCACAUCUUUAGUCGAAAUUCAGGCUGCUCCACCAACUUGCUGAGUUGCAACCUAUACAGUCCAAUUACAACCAGUAAAGGAUGACGAAAAAACGGAACCGCACGAACAGUGAUACGACAGUUGCCGAUAUUUGCCGCUGUGAAGUCGGCCGUAUUUCUUGCCUAAAGUUUGCCAACCGCCUUGCUGCAUCUGAGGAAGCCUUGACAUUCACCACACAUACAAUGAUUGAUCAUAAAGAAAUGAAAUUUCAUGAAGCACUAUAACAAGUUAGAGCACAAAACGAAAAACUCGAAGAAGAAAUUCAUAUCAAGACCGAUUUGAGCAACAACUUGAAAAGAGCUCAAGACGAACUGAUAACGAAACUUCAAGAAGCAAAGUCGCAAUCUGAAAAACAAGCCCAACAACUGAGUAUCAAAUCUGAUGAGUUAUCUACAUUGACUCAACUCCAUCAAGACCUCAAAUCAAGUUUCCAAGAAAAAGAAUCGCCGUUAAAACACCUUAAUUCUGCAACUGAAAAGCUUCGGUAUGAAUACGGAUAAAAAGUUAAAAAGUUUGAGGGUGAAACAAAGAAGUCGUCUUGGCUCUGGAAGAAGCAAAAACCGUUUCAGAAUCUUUAAAGUCGAGUCUUGAUUCUUGCAACAUGGAGAUAGAAGAUUUAAAGAGAGUUUUACCACUUAAAGAUACAAAAAAUUGUCGAAAUAUCCGACAAAACACAAACAGCAAGGGAUCUGAUUUCGAGAGACGAGGUGAUAAGUAAACUGGAAGAAGAACUAGAGACGUUCAAGAUCGGUUGAAGUGGAAGAACGAACAGUUUCAACAUCUCGAACAGUUUCAAGAUAGAUUCAAUUGAACAGCAAAUUGAAGCAAUCGUCUGGCUGCAUGGUCAGCAACAUUUUCAGCAUCUUCCUCCAUGUUUUUUCUCCGGAAGGAGCCAAAGAAAAAUCAAUGGAUUUCCUUCUAAUUCCGUUUCUUCGUUGAUUACUCGAAACUCCUCACCAGUCAGCACUGCUGGUCUGGGUUCUGCUGUCUUCUUUCGCCAUGUCAACCCCUUUUCACUCCACGAUUGGCGUUCUAUCAAGAGGUAAGCCAAGAAGCUGAAAUCAAGAAGUUAAGAAAGAGUUUGACUUUCAAAGCAGCACCGAUGCCGAGUUUUUACAAAGAGCCCCCUCCUAAAGUGGAACUCAAGAAGAUACCAGUCACGCGGCCAAAAUCUCCAAAACUAGGGAGAAAUAAGAGCUCUGUGGCUUCAGUAAACCGGUCUGUGGACCGAACUAUGGCUGCAAUGAGCCCACGGGUCAGGGACCAGCCUGCAUCACGAUUUCCUUCUUCUUUUGAACUAGUGAUUUAAAUCAACAGGUUAUUGGAAGAUCUCUUGAUGGGCUUUCAACUGAAUCCGGUUUUGAUCUUCAAAAAGUUUUGGAACCUGGCACUUAAGGAAUAUAAUGAAAAUAAUGAAUGCGUUGAUUUUAUGGUACGUAUAUGUUUGACUAUAAUCUAAAAUCACAACUAUUUUGACCAUCAUAUGAUAUGCAGGAUACUAUUUUGCUCGGCAAAGAGUAUUUGCAUCAGACUUUUCAUUUAAAAGAAGACGAGUUUUUGACUUUUGAUGUGUUAUGUUAUCUCUUCUAUUCAUUUUUUGAGUUGCAUAGAUAAUUUAUGAUUUCUUCAUUUAAAUUCUAAAGUGGGGGCAUUUAGGCUUAUUUAGCA
Long non-coding RNA from Helianthus annuus (common sunflower), 2886 nucleotides. RefSeq lists it as uncharacterized. The record is from RefSeq and is a predicted model, not a curated record. The transcript is spliced from 9 exons. Lineage: Eukaryota; Viridiplantae; Streptophyta; Magnoliopsida; Asterales; Asteraceae.